CCCAGCUAGGUGGCCGCGCGCUGACGCGGAGUGAGUGCCUGGGCGGAGCCCUGAGCCGAGCGCCGCGCGUUGCCUGGGAGACACAUACUGGCGGCGGGGAAAGGGAUAGGUGCUGUUGGACGUGCAUGCAGAGUCCGGCGGCUACGGACGCAGUAAUAUUGUCCCUCGGCGGCCGCCGUGGUGAGACCUGGCGCGUUGCCGUGGAGACGGACGGGUCCGGAAGAAGUGGGGUGCGGUGAGCUGAGCAGAUCCUAUCCGCUUCGACGCGGGGACGGCGGUGACCCGGUCUUGCUGUCGGGGCGGGUAACGGGUUGAGCCAGGGUGGGGCUGCUCAGGGGCGUGGAGCUGAGGCCUGGAUUUCUCUGAAGACCCGGCACGGGCGAUUCCUUUCUGCGACGAGAGACAAUUGCUAUGGAAACCAAAGUGCUAGGCCAACGGGGAUUGAGGCUCCAGCAUCAAGACUGGUCUCUUUCCGGAAGACCCUUGCCCCAGGCUUCGCUGGGCGGCCGCUUACGGAACGAAUCCGCCACUCUCCUGAGGAAUCUUGACACCUAGCAGGCGAAGAAGCCUAUUCCAAUGCCAGCUCCCCCAGGAAACCUACCUGGCCAACCUCUAUAAGUGGUGCCUGGCUCUUGUUAACUCUUCGACUUUGUUCCACGUUUGUAACCUAGUGUUUCGCUAACGCCCCGGGGUGUUUGUUCGCUUUUCCCACACAUAAUGGGCCAGAAAGACUUGCUUCGGGACUUUGCUUUAUGACUCUGAACAAGUCAUUUUUUCCCGCUGGGUCUCUCUUUCCUCUUCUGUAAAAUGGAAAUAUUAACUCUAGAUGCCGGUCUGAUUAGGUUUGAAGAUCGAACCAGAUGAGGGAAGCCAAAGACUUUAUAGGCUGUAAAGUGGUGAAACUGAGCUGCUACUGAGUUGCCAUUUUUUUCUCCCCUCCCUCUGCCUCAAGCUAAACGUUCUUCAGAUCUCUUGUGAUUUCUUCAGGCGUUCUUUGUGACUCCCUAGCCUCCGACCUGGAAUAAAUCUCUCUUUACACUUCACUUCCACAGAGCCCUGCAUUUUAACUUCCCUAUCCAAAGCAAGAAAAAUAGUUAUCAUUUUCAGAGGGCUAACUCUGUGCCAAGUCCUGAUAAAACUCUUUACCUGGAUUAUCUCAUUUAAUUUCACAACAUCCUUUUAAGGUUCCGUCACCCAUUGAUGAAAUAGGAGAGGCGAUCUGCACAAGACAGCUAUAUGGUCUCUUCCAACUCCCCAGCCUCUCAUAAUGGAAAGGUGACUUGCCCAAGAUCAGAGUGAACCAGAGCUGAAGCACUCCCAGUCUGCAGGUUCCCAUCACUGAUCAGGAAAAGCCAGAGGUGUCUCAGCAAAGAAGAAAACCUGUUCUUCCACCUUUAUGUUCUGAUCGUGUGUUCAAGGGCCACAUAGGUCAUGGAGAAAUGCUGUAGAGGAAAGGAACAAAGUCUACUGUGCAUCCAGCAAGCGAUAGUACCAUUCAUCUGUCCACUGCCAUCAUCACAGAACUUCAGGCACAAGGAAUACUCCACAGAGAUCUUCCAGCGAGAAGCCGAACUCAUCUCUUUAUUUCAUAGGAGUCUGGGGCAGCAGUCAGGACUCCUAUGUCCCAUCCCUCCGCUUCUUGGAGAGAAAAACAUACAGUUACAAGGAGACCUUUGUCACCACUUUCAACUAGUCAUCAAAUUUAGCAUCACGAACAGUGAUGUAACCUAAAUCUACAGAGCACCUGAUGUCCUGCAGUGUGGCAUGUACAGAAUCAUGGGUGAAGACUGAUCUAACCAUUAGAUCAAUGAGUCACAACCUUCCCCAUACGUUAAAAUCAACUCAGGGCAUUUUAAAGCUCCCCAUUCCCAGUCUGCACCCAAGCUAAUUAUAUUAGAACCUCUGCAGGUGGGAUCUAGGCAUUAGUGUUUUGUUCCAGCUCCCAAAGUGAUGUCAAGGUUCAACCAAGAUCGAGAAGUACUGGCUUAGAGGAAGAUGUUAAAACACACCAAAAGAACAUAAUCAGACAUAUUCAGAAUAUGGGAUAUUAUUUAAGAUUACUGACUUGGCUUCUUCAAAAAGUAAAUUUUUUCAAGAAGAACAGUAUCUUUGAACAUGUGUACUAGGAGAAAAAACAAAGAAAAUGAAAAAGGAGGAGAAACAAAGAAGGAAAGAAAAGGUAAGUGGGGACUGUUCCAGAAUAAGAGA
Cercocebus atys (sooty mangabey) is the source of this 2208-nucleotide long non-coding RNA. RefSeq lists it as uncharacterized. The transcript is spliced from 5 exons. The record is from RefSeq and is a predicted model, not a curated record. NCBI's taxonomy places the organism in Eukaryota, Metazoa, Chordata, Mammalia, Primates, Cercopithecidae.